Molecule: ribosomal RNA, 313 nt
Filed under: uncultured eukaryote
Lineage: Eukaryota
Description: partial 18S ribosomal RNA
Rfam family: Eukaryotic small subunit ribosomal RNA
Source: RNAcentral
CCCUUAGAUGUUCUGGGCCGCACACGCGCUACAAUGGCAAAGUCAACGAGCUUAUCCUAUGCUGACAAGCACAGGUAAUCUUUUCAGUCUUUGUCGUGAUGGGGAUAGACUCUUGUAAUUAUUGGUCUCCAACGAGGAAUUCCUAGUAAACGCAAGUCAUCAACUUGCAUUGAUUACGUCCCUGCCCUUUGUACACACCGCCCGUCGCACCUACCGAUUGAAUGGUCCGGUGAAGUCUUCGGACCGAUGCUGACUCGUUGGCAACGGAAAGUUGAGUAAACCUUACCAUUUAGAGGAAGGUGAAGUCGUAACA